RNAcentral lists this ribosomal RNA (2924 nucleotides) under Escherichia coli. RNAcentral describes it as "bacterial LSU rRNA". It matches the Rfam family "Bacterial large subunit ribosomal RNA". Lineage: Bacteria; Pseudomonadati; Pseudomonadota; Gammaproteobacteria; Enterobacterales; Enterobacteriaceae. The record is from RNAcentral.
GGGUUGUGAGGUUAAGCGACUAAGCGUACACGGUGGAUGCCCUGGCAGUCAGAGGCGAUGAAGGACGUGCUAAUCUGCGAUAAGCGUCGGUAAGGUGAUAUGAACCGUUAUAACCGGCGAUUUCCGAAUGGGGAAACCCAGUGUGUUUCGACACACUAUCAUUAACUGAAUCCAUAGGUUAAUGAGGCGAACCGGGGGAACUGAAACAUCUAAGUACCCCGAGGAAAAGAAAUCAACCGAGAUUCCCCCAGUAGCGGCGAGCGAACGGGGAGCAGCCCAGAGCCUGAAUCAGUGUGUGUGUUAGUGGAAGCGUCUGGAAAGGCGCGCGAUACAGGGUGACAGCCCCGUACACAAAAAUGCACAUAUUGUGAGCUCGAUGAGUAGGGCGGGACACGUGGUAUCCUGUCUGAAUAUGGGGGGACCAUCCUCCAAGGCUAAAUACUCCUGACUGACCGAUAGUGAACCAGUACCGUGAGGGAAAGGCGAAAAGAACCCCGGCGAGGGGAGUGAAAAAGAACCUGAAACCGUGUACGUACAAGCAGUGGGAGCCUCUUUUAUGGGGUGACUGCGUACCUUUUGUAUAAUGGGUCAGCGACUUAUAUUCUGUAGCAAGGUUAACCGAAUAGGGGAGCCGAAGGGAAACCGAGUCUUAACUGGGCGUUAAGUUGCAGGGUAUAGACCCGAAACCCGGUGAUCUAGCCAUGGGCAGGUUGAAGGUUGGGUAACACUAACUGGAGGACCGAACCGACUAAUGUUGAAAAAUUAGCGGAUGACUUGUGGCUGGGGGUGAAAGGCCAAUCAAACCGGGAGAUAGCUGGUUCUCCCCGAAAGCUAUUUAGGUAGCGCCUCGUGAAUUCAUCUCCGGGGGUAGAGCACUGUUUCGGCAAGGGGGUCAUCCCGACUUACCAACCCGAUGCAAACUGCGAAUACCGGAGAAUGUUAUCACGGGAGACACACGGCGGGUGCUAACGUCCGUCGUGAAGAGGGAAACAACCCAGACCGCCAGCUAAGGUCCCAAAGUCAUGGUUAAGUGGGAAACGAUGUGGGAAGGCCCAGACAGCCAGGAUGUUGGCUUAGAAGCAGCCAUCAUUUAAAGAAAGCGUAAUAGCUCACUGGUCGAGUCGGCCUGCGCGGAAGAUGUAACGGGGCUAAACCAUGCACCGAAGCUGCGGCAGCGACACUAUGUGUUGUUGGGUAGGGGAGCGUUCUGUAAGCCUGUGAAGGUGUGCUGUGAGGCAUGCUGGAGGUAUCAGAAGUGCGAAUGCUGACAUAAGUAACGAUAAAGCGGGUGAAAAGCCCGCUCGCCGGAAGACCAAGGGUUCCUGUCCAACGUUAAUCGGGGCAGGGUGAGUCGACCCCUAAGGCGAGGCCGAAAGGCGUAGUCGAUGGGAAACAGGUUAAUAUUCCUGUACUUGGUGUUACUGCGAAGGGGGGACGGAGAAGGCUAUGUUGGCCGGGCGACGGUUGUCCCGGUUUAAGCGUGUAGGCUGGUUUUCCAGGCAAAUCCGGAAAAUCAAGGCUGAGGCGUGAUGACGAGGCACUACGGUGCUGAAGCAACAAAUGCCCUGCUUCCAGGAAAAGCCUCUAAGCAUCAGGUAACAUCAAAUCGUACCCCAAACCGACACAGGUGGUCAGGUAGAGAAUACCAAGGCGCUUGAGAGAACUCGGGUGAAGGAACUAGGCAAAAUGGUGCCGUAACUUCGGGAGAAGGCACGCUGAUAUGUAGGUGAAGCGACUUGCUCGUGGAGCUGAAAUCAGUCGAAGAUACCAGCUGGCUGCAACUGUUUAUUAAAAACACAGCACUGUGCAAACACGAAAGUGGACGUAUACGGUGUGACGCCUGCCCGGUGCCGGAAGGUUAAUUGAUGGGGUUAGCGCAAGCGAAGCUCUUGAUCGAAGCCCCGGUAAACGGCGGCCGUAACUAUAACGGUCCUAAGGUAGCGAAAUUCCUUGUCGGGUAAGUUCCGACCUGCACGAAUGGCGUAAUGAUGGCCAGGCUGUCUCCACCCGAGACUCAGUGAAAUUGAACUCGCUGUGAAGAUGCAGUGUACCCGCGGCAAGACGGAAAGACCCCGUGAACCUUUACUAUAGCUUGACACUGAACAUUGAGCCUUGAUGUGUAGGAUAGGUGGGAGGCUUUGAAGUGUGGACGCCAGUCUGCAUGGAGCCGACCUUGAAAUACCACCCUUUAAUGUUUGAUGUUCUAACGUUGACCCGUGAUCCGGGUUGCGGACAGUGUCUGGUGGGUAGUUUGACUGGGGCGGUCUCCUCCUAAAGAGUAACGGAGGAGCACGAAGGUUGGCUAAUCCUGGUCGGACAUCAGGAGGUUAGUGCAAUGGCAUAAGCCAGCUUGACUGCGAGCGUGACGGCGCGAGCAGGUGCGAAAGCAGGUCAUAGUGAUCCGGUGGUUCUGAAUGGAAGGGCCAUCGCUCAACGGAUAAAAGGUACUCCGGGGAUAACAGGCUGAUACCGCCCAAGAGUUCAUAUCGACGGCGGUGUUUGGCACCUCGAUGUCGGCUCAUCACAUCCUGGGGCUGAAGUAGGUCCCAAGGGUAUGGCUGUUCGCCAUUUAAAGUGGUACGCGAGCUGGGUUUAGAACGUCGUGAGACAGUUCGGUCCCUAUCUGCCGUGGGCGCUGGAGAACUGAGGGGGGCUGCUCCUAGUACGAGAGGACCGGAGUGGACGCAUCACUGGUGUUCGGGUUGUCAUGCCAAUGGCACUGCCCGGUAGCUAAAUGCGGAAGAGAUAAGUGCUGAAAGCAUCUAAGCACGAAACUUGCCCCGAGAUGAGUUCUCCCUGACCCUUUAAGGGUCCUGAAGGAACGUUGAAGACGACGACGUUGAUAGGCCGGGUGUGUAAGCGCAGCGAUGCGUUGAGCUAACCGGUACUAAUGAACCGUGAGGCUUAACCUUACAACGCCGAAG